This 390-nucleotide ribosomal RNA is filed under the name Xyrichtys novacula (pearly razorfish). RNAcentral describes it as "partial 12S ribosomal RNA". It matches the Rfam family "Bacterial small subunit ribosomal RNA", at positions 794 to 1384 of the family's 1533-position model. Lineage: Eukaryota; Metazoa; Chordata; Actinopteri; Labriformes; Labridae. The record is from RNAcentral.
GCCUAGCCCUAAACAAAGAUAGCCCACCACUUACGCUAUCCGCCCGGGUACUACGAGCAUCAGCUUAAAACCCAAAGGACUUGGCGGUGCUUUAGAUCCACCUAGAGGAGCCUGUUCUAGAACCGAUAAUCCCCGUUAAACCUCACCCUUCCUUGCCUUUUCCGCCUAUAUACCGCCGUCGUCAGCUCGCCCUUUGAGGGUAAAAUAAUGAGCCAAACUGGCACUGCCCUAGACGCCAGGUCGAGGUGUAGCGAAUGGAGGGGGAAGAAAUGGGCUACAUUCAAUAAACUACAAUGAAUUACGGAUGGUGGAUUGAAAAAUCUGCCUAAAGGAGGAUUUAGCAGUAAGCAAGAAAUAGAGUGUCUUGCUGAAUUUGGCCCUGAAGCGCGC